AUUGAACGCUGGCGGCAGGCCUAACACAUGCAAGUCGAGCGGAUGAAGGGAGCUUGCUCCUGGAUUCAGCGGCGGACGGGUGAGUAAUGCCUAGGAAUCUGCCUGGUAGUGGGGGAUAACGUCCGGAAACGGGCGCUAAUACCGCAUACGUCCUGAGGGAGAAAGUGGGGGAUCUUCGGACCUCACGCUAUCAGAUGAGCCUAGGUCGGAUUAGCUAGUUGGUGGGGUAAAGGCCUACCAAGGCGACGAUCCGUAACUGGUCUGAGAGGAUGAUCAGUCACACUGGAACUGAGACACGGUCCAGACUCCGACGGGAGGCAGCAGUGGGGAAUAUUGGACAAUGGGCGAAAGCCUGAUCCAGCCAUGCCGCGUGUGUGAAGAAGGUCUUCGGAUUGUAAAGCACUUUAAGUUGGGAGGAAGGGCAGUAAGUUAAUACCUGGCUGUUUUGACGUUACCAACAGAAUAAGCACCGGCUAACUUCGU
RNAcentral lists this ribosomal RNA (483 nucleotides) under uncultured bacterium. RNAcentral's name for it is "partial 16S ribosomal RNA". It matches the Rfam family "Bacterial small subunit ribosomal RNA", at positions 30 to 506 of the family's 1533-position model. The record is from RNAcentral.